AAAUUGAAGAGUUUGAUCAUGGCUCAGAUUGAACGCUGGCGGCAGGCCUAACACAUGCAAGUCGAACGGUAACAGGAAGCAGCUUGCUGUUUCGCUGACGAGUGGCGGACGGGUGAGUAAUGUCUGGGAAACUGCCUGAUGGAGGGGGAUAACUACUGGAAACGGUGGCUAAUACCGCAUAACGUCGCAAGACCAAAGAGGGGGACCUUCGGGCCUCUUGCCAUCAGAUGUGCCCAGAUGGGAUUAGCUAGUUGGUGAGGUAACGG
RNAcentral lists this ribosomal RNA (266 nucleotides) under Salmonella enterica subsp. enterica serovar Newport. Its description in RNAcentral is "partial 16S ribosomal RNA". It matches the Rfam family "Bacterial small subunit ribosomal RNA", at positions 1 to 263 of the family's 1533-position model. Lineage: Bacteria; Pseudomonadati; Pseudomonadota; Gammaproteobacteria; Enterobacterales; Enterobacteriaceae. The record is from RNAcentral.